Molecule: ribosomal RNA, 910 nt
Filed under: Rhodotorula diobovata
Lineage: Eukaryota; Fungi; Basidiomycota; Microbotryomycetes; Sporidiobolales; Sporidiobolaceae
Description: LSU rRNA
Rfam family: Eukaryotic large subunit ribosomal RNA
Source: RNAcentral
CUAAGCAUAUCAAUAAGCGGAGGAAAAGAAACUAACAAGGAUUCCCCUAGUAGCGGCGAGCGAAGCGGGAAGAGCUCAAAUUUAUAAUCUGGCACCUUCGGUGUCCGAGUUGUAAUCUCUAGAAGUGUUUUCCGCGUUGGACCGCACACAAGUCUGUUGGAAUACAGCGGCAUAGUGGUGAAACCCCCGUAUAUGGUGCGGACGCCCAGCGCUUUGUGAUACACUUUCAAUGAGUCGAGUUGUUUGGGAAUGCAGCUCAAAUUGGGUGGUAAAUUCCAUCUAAAGCUAAAUAUUGGCGAGAGACCGAUAGCGAACAAGUACCGUGAGGGAAAGAUGAAAAGCACUUUGGAAAGAGAGUUAACAGUACGUGAAAUUGUUGGAAGGGAAACGCUUGAAGUCAGACUUGCUUGCCGGAGCUUGCUUCGGUUUGCAGGCCAGCAUCAGUUUUCCGGGGUGGAUAAUGACGGUUUGAAGGUAGCAGUCUCGGCUGUGUUAUAGCUUUCCGUUGGAUACGCCCUGGGGGACUGAGGAACGCAGCGUGCUUUUUGCGAAAGACUCGUCUUUUUCACGCUUAGGAUGCUGGUGGAAUGGCUUUAAACGACCCGUCUUGAAACACGGACCAAGGAGUCUAACAUGCUCGCGAGUAUUUGGGUGUCAAACCCGGAUGCGCAAUGAAAGUGAAUGUAGGUGGGAACCGCAAGGUGCACCAUCGACCGAUCUGGAUUUUUUAAGAUGGAUUUGAGUAAGAGCGCGUAUGUUGGGACCCGAAAGAUGGUGAACUAUGCCUGAAUAGGGCGAAGCCAGAGGAAACUCUGGUGGAGGCUCGUAGCGGUUCUGACGUGCAAAUCGAUCGUCAAAUUUGGGUAUAGGGGCGAAAGACUAAUCGAACCAUCUAGUAGCUGGUUCCUGC